This is a long non-coding RNA of Pseudopipra pipra, 2826 nucleotides long. RefSeq lists it as uncharacterized. The transcript has 4 exons. The record is from RefSeq and is a predicted model, not a curated record. Lineage: Eukaryota; Metazoa; Chordata; Aves; Passeriformes; Pipridae.
GAACCAAAACUAGAGAGAGAGACAGCUAAAGCAAUAUAUAUAAAUAUAUUUACACUUAUGUUACAGUUAUAUACAAUUGAAAUAUAUAUAUAAUUUCACAAGGAAAAGGGAAAGGGAAAGGGGGAAGGGAAAAAAGGAACAAAACCAAAAUAAAAUAUAUAUAUAUCCUGAUCAGUAGCCCAAGAUCUAGCAACUAAAAGAAUUAGCAAAAGAAUAUCUUACUACUCUCCUUGGGACAACAGAAAGUCACUCUGGAACGAUCGCCGGCAACCUCCGUCUCCCAAGGUUGGCAAGGCCUUACCAGGCCUCGUUUCCCAACACGACAGACUCAACAACAGGGAACCUGCACCUCCAAAGCCGCUGGAAGGAAAGAGAGCGAAGGCCUCUCCUCCUUUCUUCUUAUACCCUGGCUUACGUAAAAAUCAUAGGGAAUACUGGGUAAAUCUGGGCACUUCCUUGGCUACAAACUGGUCACCAAGGAAGGCCUAGACCAAACUACCACAAUGUCCUUGAGGGAAGCCUGGAAGCCCUGUAGACUGAUCAGUGUUUGUAGACUCCCAGUAAUAAGGGACAAGUUACUGUAUUUAAAGGGUGACUAAGAUGGAGACUGCCUUUUUACAAGGAGCCACGGGGAAAACAUGAGGAGUACAUGUACGAGUUACUACUGUGUUGACACAAGAUGAGCUGGGCUAGAGGUAAUUCUGAUAAAGGCCUUGAGAAAAGGAAAUGCGAAACUUUGGAGGCACUUUGAGUCCAUAUCUUGCUGGGAACUGACCUCCAGGCUUUGCGGAAAUUGUACUGUACAGAUGGCAUUUUCCAUCUGAAACCACCUAUUGUGGAGGCAAGAAUCUGGAGACAUGCUCUGUAGCUUCCAGCUCAUGCCUGAAAUCAGUUAAUCUCUCUUCUUGGUUUUCCAGAGCAUGAAGAAUUUAUAUUUAGUAAGUUUAGACAGACACUGAUUUAAUGAGGGAGAAUCUUAGGUUGUGACUCUAUGCUACAGAAUUUUUUUUCUCAUGGUUUUAGUAUAUUUUAUUUCCUUCUCCUGGCAGCAUAUUCUGGUCUUUAGGAAGUAACAUGGCCGAGGUCAAUCAAAUUAGAUUCUUGUUGGCUGUCUUAUUGAAUAUAUUAAAAAAAUAUCUUUGAUCAAAACAAAAAAAUCCUGCCUAAAGUGUUGUUUUUCAGCCUGGGUUUUUUAAUUAACCUCGUAUAAAACAGGUUGUAGCAGUGAAAGUCGGGAGGUGAUAAAGUGCUGAACAGGGACAGGAAUAAGUAGCCAGGACACAUUAGUCUUAAUUAAAGCUAAUUAAUGCUUAAAAGUAGUCUUUUUACAAUAGCUCCUAUGCAAUGAAACAUCAGUCUCAAAGGUCACAUUUUUGAACAGCUGAAAAAGUUCCAAUGUAACAAUGGGGGUUAGUUUAGGUAAUUGCAUUGCUUCAUAAAAAUAGAAAACUCUCUUUUGAAGAGGUAACUCAGUAUUCUUGAAUGACAACUGGCAUUAAAGAGCUUUUUUUCACUCCAUCAUGGGAUCCACUGAACUGAGGUUGUAUGAUAGUGAUGCAGUGGCAUGAUGUGUGGUAAAUGGGUCACUGGAAGUUUCUGUAACUUUGACCAUGAACUGACUGAAGAAGAUUUUACUCUCAAAUUCUGCAUGUCCAGGACCCUCCAUGAACACUGAGCUCACUCAGUUGUACAGCUCAGUGAACCUCAGACCAACAGCAUUCUCUGAGCAUGUUCAAAAUUCUCUCCAGGUCUCUAGUCAGACUGAGAAAGUGAGCAGAGUGGUACUUUUUUCUCCAUGCUUGCCUAAUUUAUUCUCAUCCAGCAUGCCCUUUUUUAUUCAUAUCUCUUUCAUUGUACAUUCUGAGUUUAUUCAAUUCAGUUUUUAUUUAAUCAGGUGCACUAACCCUUGGAGGUUUUUCUUUUUGCAUCAAUGUAGUCUCACAUUGAAAUCAGCUUUCAUUGAAUUUGACAUUUGCUGAAUGUUAGAACUAAAAAUUACUGAAAUCCUGGUAUAAUUAUUUAAUUAUUUUAGCUAAAAAUUCAUCUGUCACUUUUGUCAUUGUAUUUAGGGCAUGGAUGUAUAACCAAUAGUUAACUGGAUUCCUGUAUAUUUGUAUUUUACGGUAAGGAAAAAACUCAAAAUUUUCAUAUAUAUUGUAUAGUUCUUCCCCAAUACAGAUACAUUUAAAUGUUUGUUACAGGCCUGCUGACUGAUGGCAGUAUCAGUCCCAAAAAUGAUAAAUGUCCAGAGGUAGUGGCAAUAAAAUGCCAAAGUGUAAAGGAAAUUAUUCUUAAGAAAACAUGUUUGGGAGAGUAGAAUAAAAUGUAUCCUUGUGUUUAUAAUUGGAAAAAGAGGCUGCAUGUAUUAUUAUUUUAAAAUACAAUCUUUGUUUUAAUAUUUGCCAGAAGAUCUGUGGUUUUGCUGCCUACUGAGAUAGAACAUUAAAAACAACUCUGUUAUCAAUGAGUGAAGUUAUUUCUUACUAUACAUUUUCCAUAGGCCAGUGAGAGGUACACAUGUGAGAGGUGCAGUACAAAACCAUACCUAUGUGCCAUGAUAUACAUGGCUAUGUAUAAAGAGAGGAAAAGUGAGAGCACCUAGACUAAAACAUGUAUGAUGAGGCUCACAUUCCUUUCAGCUGCAUUGGAAUGUGAAUUAGGCCUUUUGACAUGGCCUCACAGCUUUUCUGAUGUCUAAAAUAGCACCGCUUUAGUGCUUCACAUGUGGCCAUCAUUAGACAGGAAAGAAUUCUGUGAACUUCACUGGUGUCAUCUCCCCACCCUCUUUAUACCUUUGACUUGCUGAAAUAAAAGUAUGUACACCUU